RNAcentral lists this ribosomal RNA (1335 nucleotides) under Carabus smaragdinus. Its description in RNAcentral is "16S ribosomal RNA". The stretch from base 1082 to 1241 matches the Rfam family "Archaeal large subunit ribosomal RNA", at positions 2544 to 2703 of the family's 2987-position model. Lineage: Eukaryota; Metazoa; Arthropoda; Insecta; Coleoptera; Carabidae. The record is from RNAcentral.
AAAUAAGAAAUUUACUUUAUUUUAUGUUUAUAUUUUAAUUUAAUAAAAAUAAUUUUAAUAAUUUAUAUUUUUAGUAGAGUUUAUAGAAAAAAUUAAUUUAGUUAUAGUUUAAUUGUAUUGUAAAAGAUUAUUGAAAUAAGAUUUUAUUUUUAAAAAGUAUAAUUUAAUUUUAGUACCUUGUGUAUCAGGGUUUAUUAAAUAAAUAUUAUAAAUUUUAAUUUUCUCGAAUUUAAGAGAGCUAAUAAAUUAUUUUUUUUAUUGUAAAAAAAAUAUUUAUAAUAAUUUAUUGGUAAUGAGAUGUUAUUCGUUCUUAAAUAUAUCUAGUUUAUUUAGAAAUGAAUUUAAUUCAGAUAUUAUUAUUUUAAUAAUUUAAUUUUUUAAAUUAUUAAAUUUAUUAAUAUUAAUAAUUAAAGGGAUUAGCUUUUAAUUAAAAAUUUAAAAAUUAAUAAAAUAUUUUAAGAAAUGUAGAUUUAGAAAUAGUCAUCAAUAAUAAUUUGUUAUAAUUAAUUUAUAUAAAAAUAUUAUUUUAUAUAAUUUUAAAUUUUUUAUAAAUAAAUAAUUUUUAAUUUUAUAAAUUUAGGUAUAAUGAUAGAAUUAGUAUAUAUUUGAUUUAUUUAAAUAAUAGUUUUUGAGAGAUUAUUUAAAGGAAUUCGGCAAAAUUUUUACUCGCCUGUUUAACAAAAACAUGUCCUUUUGUAUUUUAUUUAAGGUCUAGUCUGCCCACUGAAUUUAAAUUUUAAAUGGCCGCAGUAUUUUGACUGUGCAAAGGUAGCAUAAUCAUUAGUUUUUUAAUUAAAAGCUUGUAUGAAAGGCUGGACGAGGUAAAAUCUGUCUCUAUUUAAAUUAUAAUAGAAUUUAACUUUUAAGUUAAAAGGCUUAAAUAUUAUUAAAAGACGAGAAGACCCUAUAGAUCUUUAUAAUUUAUUAAUUAAAAUUAAUUUAGAAUUAUUUAUAUUUUAUUUGAUCAAAUUAUUUUAUUGGGGUAAUAUAAAGAUUGAAUUAAUUCUUUUUUUUUAUAAACAUUAAUUUAUGAAUAUUAAAUGAUCCAGUUUUAUUGAUUAUAAGAUUAAGUUACCUUAGGGAUAACAGCGUAAUUUUUUUAGAGAGUUCAUAUCGAUAAAAAAGUUUGCGACCUCGAUGUUGGAUUAAAGAUUAUUUUAGGUGUAGAAGCUUAAUAAUUUUGGUCUGUUCGACCAUUAAAUCUUUACAUGAUCUGAGUUCAGACCGGUGUAAGCCAGGUCGGUUUCUAUCUUUAAUAAAAUAAAAUAUUUUAGUACGAAAGGACCAAAUAUUUAAUAUAAUUAUAUUUUAGUUAAUUGAAUAUUAUUAAAAUUA